RNAcentral lists this transfer-messenger RNA (350 nucleotides) under Clostridiales bacterium. It matches the Rfam family "transfer-messenger RNA". From Rfam's summary of the family: Bacterial tmRNA, also known as 10Sa RNA or SsrA, is named for its dual tRNA and mRNA-like properties. Its role is to liberate the mRNA from a stalled ribosome. RNAcentral also lists the same sequence under 1 other name. The record is from RNAcentral. Lineage: Bacteria; Bacillati; Bacillota; Clostridia; Eubacteriales.
GGGGGUGUAAAGGUUUCGACGGGGGUCUUGCAGUGGGUGUAGCAGGCCGAGUUGCGGACACUCGUUAAACGCCGCACCCUUUAUAAAUGAAAGAACAACACUAACGUUGCUCUCGCGGCCUAAUUAGGCCGCCGUCCGCCCCCGGAGGACCACGGCCGGGGAGUCGGGCGUCGUUGAGUGGUGCACGUGAGGCAGCCAAGCUUUGCCCUGCCCAUGAAUCAUGAAGCUACCAAACGGUGCAGCCCGCCGCUAGGCGGCACCCGGAGGGAAUGUCAAACUUGCGGCUAAGCCUGUAGAAGCACCCAUGAAUGGGCUUUCGGACAGGGGUUCAAUUCCCCUCACCUCCACCA